UACGAAGGGGGCGAGCGUUGCUCGGAAUUACUGGGCGUAAAGGGCGCGCAGGCGGUCCUUCAAGUCAGAUGUGAAAGCCCCGGGCUCAACCUGGGAACAGCAUUUGAGACUGGAGGACUUGAGGACGGGAGAGGAGAGUGGAAUUCCCAGUGUAGAGGUGAAAUUCGUAGAUAUUCGGAAGAACACCAGUGGCGAAGGCGACUCGCUGGACAGGUAUUGACGCUGAGGUGCGAAAGCGUGGGGAGCAAACAGG
RNAcentral lists this ribosomal RNA (253 nucleotides) under uncultured bacterium. RNAcentral's name for it is "partial 16S ribosomal RNA". It matches the Rfam family "Bacterial small subunit ribosomal RNA", at positions 524 to 776 of the family's 1533-position model. The record is from RNAcentral.